RNAcentral lists this ribosomal RNA (1474 nucleotides) under Staphylococcus aureus. RNAcentral describes it as "bacterial SSU rRNA". The stretch from base 1 to 966 matches the Rfam family "Bacterial small subunit ribosomal RNA". Lineage: Bacteria; Bacillati; Bacillota; Bacilli; Caryophanales; Staphylococcaceae. The record is from RNAcentral.
AGAGUUUGAUCCUGGCUCAGGAUGAACGCUGGCGGCGUGCCUAAUACAUGCAAGUCGAGCGAACGGAUGAGAAGCUUGCUUCUCUGAUGUUAGCGGCGGACGGGUGAGUAACACGUGGAUAACCUACCUAUAAGACUGGGAUAACUUCGGGAAACCGGAGCUAAUACCGGAUAAUAUUUUGAGCCGCAUGGUUCAAAAGUGAAAGACGGUCUUGCUGUCACUUAUAGAUGGAUCCGCGCUGCAUUAGCUAGUUGGUAAGGUAACGGCUUACCAAGGCAACGAUGCAUAGCCGACCUGAGAGGGUGAUCGGCCACACUGGAACUGAGACACGGUCCAGACUCCUACGGGAGGCAGCAGUAGGGAAUCUUCCGCAAUGGGCGAAAGCCUGACGGAGCAACGCCGCGUGAGUGAUGAAGGUCUUCGGAUCGUAAAACUCUGUUAUUAGGGAAGAACAUAUGUGUAAGUAACUGUGCACAUCUUGACGGUACCUAAUCAGAAAGCCACGGCUAACUACGUGCCAGCAGCCGCGGUAAUACGUAGGUGGCAAGCGUUAUCCGGAAUUAUUGGGCGUAAAGCGCGCGUAGGCGGUUUUUUAAGUCUGAUGUGAAAGCCCACGGCUCAACCGUGGAGGGUCAUUGGAAACUGGAAAACUUGAGUGCAGAAGAGGAAAGUGGAAUUCCAUGUGUAGCGGUGAAAUGCGCAGAGAUAUGGAGGAACACCAGUGGCGAAGGCGACUUUCUGGUCUGUAACUGACGCUGAUGUGCGAAAGCGUGGGGAUCAAACAGGAUUAGAUACCCUGGUAGUCCACGCCGUAAACGAUGAGUGCUAAGUGUUAGGGGGUUUCCGCCCCUUAGUGCUGCAGCUAACGCAUUAAGCACUCCGCCUGGGGAGUACGACCGCAAGGUUGAAACUCAAAGGAAUUNAAGAAAAGAACAUUUUAACUACGGAAGUGGUAUUAACUAAUAACUAGUAUCCUUUAUAAAUAAACAUAAAAAUAUUCAAACGAAGGUCUACUAAAUAACUAUCCAUAAAGUGAGUAUAAGUUUGUUUGUAAAACUGAAGUAAAAAGCAUAAGGAAUUACACUUUAAAUACAUAUAGUACUUACGAAUAGAAAAUAAUCCCUUCAACAGUAAUUUUUAAACAAAAAUAAGUGUUGUUUUAUGUUGACUCUACUAGAAUAACUUGAUAUUAUAUAAAAGUCGUCAAACGGCACUAAUAUUUAAAAAACAAAUGUUUUAAGUUGUUGAUUUAAAAUAUUAAUAAAGUGUAAAUUUGACUAUUGAAAUUCGAACAAAUACAUAAUAAAAUAAUAUUUGUUGAAUUAAUUGAGUUAGGAAAUUUAUUUUUUAGAAAUAAAAUAAUUAAAAAUAAUUCUUGACUUACAAAAACUUACGAGUUAUAAUUAAAUCUUGUAAGUGACAAACGAACAUUGAAAACUGAAUGACAAUAUGUCAACGUUAAUUUCAAAAACGU